This 692-nucleotide long non-coding RNA is filed under the name Mus musculus (house mouse). RNAcentral describes it as "RIKEN cDNA 4930455F16 gene, transcript variant 2 (4930455F16Rik)". Lineage: Eukaryota; Metazoa; Chordata; Mammalia; Rodentia; Muridae. The record is from RNAcentral.
AUUCAACAAAAUGGAAGGGUCCCCUGAGACAUGGGCAAAGACAUCUACUGGGUUGUGCAUCCCUCUUUAGGGAGACCCCUGGCCAUCCUCCAGCCAGGCCCCCUCCCAAAGGACAAAGACUCCAGGACAGCUCCAAACAGGCCAUGACAGUGAGCAAUGUAUAUACAUGGAGCCUGGGAUCUAUGCCAUAUCAACACCGGUUUCUGGGGCCUGUGCUGGCAUCUUCUCUAGCAUUUUCUCAGUAUGAAGAUACAGUUCACUAUGUCUGGAAGGCAAGACAGCAGGAACAUGAGGGAGCUGUUCACACUGCAUCUGCAGUCAGGAAGCCGAGAGAGAGCAGGGAAUGCUGGUCCUCAGCUACCUCACUCCUCUUUCCACUUGUUCAGCACAAGAUCCCAGCCCAUGAGAUGCUGCCACUCAUGUUCGGGUUCAUGGGGUCAUCCACACAUUUAAUCCUGGCUCUUGAGGGAUGAGGGCGUAGAGGCAGGAUGAUCAUCCUCAACAACUCGAUGAAUUCAGCUGUAUACCUAACUUGAGGAUUCGGGUCUUCAGAUGGCACAAACAGGAAGAUGGGUAGAAAUAUGGGCACACUGUGGAUUCAUGAGCAACUACAUUGCGGGAAACCUGUGAAAAGUGUGUCUUGGUGGUUCUAGUUUACUCAUUAAUAUAAUAAACAAACUGUGGGCUGAAUG